RNAcentral lists this transfer RNA (71 nucleotides) under Astrosyne radiata. It matches the Rfam family "tRNA". From Rfam's summary of the family: Transfer RNA (tRNA) molecules are approximately 80 nucleotides in length. Their secondary structure includes four short double-helical elements and three loops (D, anti-codon, and T loops). The record is from RNAcentral. Lineage: Eukaryota; Bacillariophyta; Fragilariophyceae; Cyclophorales; Cyclophoraceae.
GGGAAUUAGCUCAGCUGGUAGAGCGUCUCGAUGGCAUUGAGAAGGUCGGGGGUUCGACUCCCCCAUUCUCC